GGAAUCUUGGACAAUGGGGGCAACCCUGAUCCAGCCAUGCCGCGUGGACGAUGAAGGCCUUAGGGUUGUAAAGUCCUUUCGCCGGGGAAGAUAAUGACGGUACCCGGUAAAGAAGCCCCGGCUAAAUCCGUGCCAGCAGCCGCGGUAAGACGGAGGGGGCUAGCGUUGUUAGGAAUUACUGGGCGUAAAGCGCACGUAGGCGGAUAGUUAAGUCGGGGGUGAAAUCCCGGGGCUCAACCCCGGAACUGCCUUCGAUACUGGCUGUCUGGAGGUCGAGAGAGGUGAGUGGAAUUCCGAGUGUAGAGGUGAAAUUCGUAGAUAUUCGGAGGAACACCAGUGGCGAAGGCGGCUCACUGGCUCGAUACUGACGCUGAGGUGCGAAAGCGUGGGGAGCAAA
This 397-nucleotide ribosomal RNA is filed under the name uncultured bacterium. Its description in RNAcentral is "bacterial SSU rRNA". It matches the Rfam family "Bacterial small subunit ribosomal RNA", at positions 358 to 772 of the family's 1533-position model. The record is from RNAcentral.